RNAcentral lists this ribosomal RNA (460 nucleotides) under uncultured bacterium. Its description in RNAcentral is "partial 16S ribosomal RNA". It matches the Rfam family "Bacterial small subunit ribosomal RNA", at positions 338 to 795 of the family's 1533-position model. The record is from RNAcentral.
CCUACGGGAGGCAGCAGUGAGGAAUAUUGGUCAAUGGACGAGAGUCUGAACCAGCCAAGUAGCGUGAGGGAUGACUGCCCUAUGGGUUGUAAACUUCUUUUAUAUGGGAAUAAAAUGUUCCACGUGUGGGAUUUUGUAUGUACCAUAUGAAUAAGGAUCGGCUAACUCCGUGCCAGCAGCCGCGGUAAUACGGAGGAUCCGAGCGUUAUCCGGAUUUAUUGGGUUUAAAGGGAGCGUAGGUGGAUUGUUAAGUCAGUUGUGAAAGUUUGCGGCUCAACCGUAAAAUUGCAGUUGAAACUGGCAGUCUUGAGUACAGUAGAGGUGGGCGGAAUUCGUGGUGUAGCGGUGAAAUGCUUAGAUAUCACGAAGAACUCCGAUUGCGAAGGCAGUUCACUGUACUGCAACUGACACUGAGGCUCGAAAGUGUGGGUAUCAAACAGGAUUAGAUACCCGGGUAGUC